AGAGUUUGAUCCUGGCUCAGAACAAACGCUGGCGGCGUGCCUAACACAUGCAAGUCGUACGAGAAAGGGUCUUUCGGGAUCUGAGUAAAGUGGCGCACGGGUGAGUAACGCGUGGAUAAUCUGCCCUUCAGUUGGGAAUAACUCAUCGAAAGGUGGGCUAAUACCGAAUAACGCUGUGAGACUUUGGUCGAUCAGCCAAAGAGAGCCUCUGCUUGCAUGCCCUCGCUGAAGGAUGAGUCCGCGUACCAUUAGCUAGUUGGUAGGGUAAUGGCCUACCAAGGCGACGAUGGUUAGCUGGUCUGAGAGGAUGAUCAGCCACACUGGAACUGAGACACGGUCCAGACUCCUACGGGAGGCAGCAGUGAGGAAUCUUGCGCAAUGGGGGCAACCCUGACGCAGCAACGCCGCGUGAGUGAGGAAGGUCUUCGGAUCGUAAAGCUCUGUCGGAUGGAAAGAACCGCAUAGGGGUAAAUAGCCCCUGUGUCUGACGGUACCAUCAAAGGAAGCACCGGCUAACUCCGUGCCAGCAGCCGCGGUAAUACGGGGGGUGCAAGCGUUGUUCGGAAUUAUUGGGCGUAAAGAGCGUGUAGGCGGCCGGAUGUGUCAGAUGUGAAAGCCCUGGGCUUAACCCAGGAAGUGCAUUUGAAACUGUCCGGCUUGAGUAGGGGAGAGGGAAGUGGAAUUCCUGGUGUAGAGGUGAAAUUCGUAGAUAUCAGGAGGAACACCGGUGGCGAAGGCGACUUCCUGGCCCUAUACUGACGCUGAGACGCGAGAGCGUGGGUAGCAAACAGGAUUAGAUACCCUGGUAGUCCACGCCGUAAACGAUGUUCACUAGGUGUUGGGGGUAUUGACCCCCUCAGUGCCGGAGCUAACGCAUUAAGUGAACCGCCUGGGGAGUACGGUCGCAAGACUAAAACUCAAAGGAAUUGACGG
This 933-nucleotide ribosomal RNA is filed under the name uncultured delta proteobacterium. RNAcentral's name for it is "bacterial SSU rRNA". It matches the Rfam family "Bacterial small subunit ribosomal RNA", at positions 8 to 916 of the family's 1533-position model. Lineage: Bacteria; Deltaproteobacteria. The record is from RNAcentral.